UUACAGGUGAGGAGCCUGUGAGAGACCUGAGAUCUUUUAUUCUGCUUUGUGAUCAGAUCCUAUUGCUUUCACAAAAAAACGUCGUUUAUUAGGGGUGGUGUAUGGCGCGUUUGAGGACGUGCGUGGAAAGAUUUUCCCAAGUUGCAGAGGAGACGUUGGUGUUUACGGAAAACUGAAAUAAGUGAACUUGCAAGACAAGACUGGAGGAAAAUCCCAGCAUUCCUGGGAGCUCAACUGAGGGGGCGAAGGGAAGGGGAAAAGGAAUGCCCCUCGGGAGUUUCCCGGGAUAGCGCGCGGCCCCACGGGCUUCCUACUGCCGGCUCACCAACGGGAAAUAUGCGCAGGGGAGACUCCCAAACGGACACAAAAAAGAUUCCUCAUCCCUGCUUCUCAUACCCCCUUUUUCGCACAUACACAGGAGCCCAUACUGUGAAAAUCCACCCCCUACACCACAGCUGAUUGCUGCGAUGGGUCUCUGGGGAUGUUCUCAGUCGGCCCUACCCUAGCAUCUUUAUAAACGCCUCCUGGUGGCUUUUAGCUGAGUAGGAGCGCCACGAUAUUCAGUACACAUUUAGAAGCGAGCGCUUCAGCAAUUUCCUUGUGGUAGAGAGGAAUGCAGCUCUGCUCCAAGUAGUUUAACCUAGAUUCGACGCCUGUUCAUGGACAGCGUGCUUAGUGCAAAUUGAAUGUAACAGUUUGCAGGUUGGGGUUGGUUUCCGGGAUUUCAGAUUUUUAAACGGACACACCGACACUCUGGAAGUGGUCUUCGAGGACCGCAUGCUCCCUCUUGUGGAUGACAACAGUUCCCAACGCCAAACAAACAAGAAAACCACAACCCAGUAACUCUCCCUGCAAAUACAGGCUUCUUUUUAUCAGGAUUCCUGCUGGAUUUCUUUGCAACGGAAUUUUUGCAACUGGCUGUCAUUAGGCAAAAUCUUUAAAUUCAGUGUUUUCUGGAAAGCUGGGUUGGGAGUGUUCCUCAAUCUUAGACUAGGUCUAUGAGAAACAAAUUCACCGUCCAAACCCAAAGAAUGGACUCAGAGACCCGGAGAACAGCAAAAGUGAGAGUUUAACGACGAUCUUGCAAGAUCGGUUGUCUGAUGAGCGGGCACACCCAGCACACUUUGAACAACCGAUUUAUCCCGUGGUGCGCAGGUCCCUCCCCGGGUUCCUCACAGGGGAGACUUCUGCUCCAGUCUUGGGUGAAGACUUGUUCAUAGAGUGAAUGUAGACUUGGGAUCAGUGAAGGAAAAAGAGUGAAAAGAAACUUGUGAAGAAGCAGAGCAGAAAGAUGUGCAACCAAAUGGAGACAGGCUACCCUGGAUUCCAGGUGGUCUCACACUUCUGAGGACUGACAUAGAUACUACUGCUAAGAAGAUACUAUGAUGUAUGGUGGACUGGAUUACAAGGAAUCACUCUAGUUUUAAGAGACAAGAUAACUGGCAGAAGUGGGAAAAAAAAAAAAAAAAGAGCCAAGAAGGUCCCACCGAGAUUUGAACUCGGAUCGCUGGAUUCAAAGUCCAGAGUGCUAACCAUUACACCAUGGGGCCACCUAUAAGCCUGCUUAUGAAGUUUUUCUUCUGACAAAUAUUUAUCCCUGAGUCACUAGCUCUUAACUGCUAAGUAUGAAAUAAUGGGUUUUUAAACAAAACUGUACUGCCCUCUACAGGAGUAUUUUGGAAAUGCCUGGGUGUUUUGCUUGUUUCAAUGACUGGGGCACAACUGGCUUUCACAGGUCAGAACCAGAGAUACUGGGAAUCUUGCAAUGCUCAGGACAAUACUGCAUAAAGAAUUAACCAUAGGAGUGCACAAUUUUUGCAAAACGACCUUGGAUCUUUCAUCUAGGUUUUCUGGGGCCUUUUCUAAUAGUAAAAUCCGUGCUUCCAUCCUUGUUUGUACUCUCCCACUGAAUCAUCCUCUCACAUACAAUUACAAUGCUGUGUAGGACCUUGUUAGGAUUUUGACUUUUAUUCUGAAAUGGGAAGUCACAGUUUCUGGUUGGAUGUCCUGAGAGACUCACCUUCAGAAUCUUGAGCUACUCUAUGACAAGUCUGACCACUCUGAAGCCACCAUACUGUUAAGUAGCUCAGGCCACACAUGUAGAUGCUCUGGCUGGUAGUCCCAUGCCACAGCCAGCAUCAUUUACCAGCUAUGCGAGUGAAGAGGCUUCCAAAUGAUCCCAGCCUUCAGCGGUUAUCCCAAGAAUCACCCUAAGCUGGUGAGUUUACACCUGAUGCUCUAGACAUCUUGGAGCAGAGGUAGCAAUCCCUGCUGUGCUCUGUCCUAUUUCCUGACCACAGAAUCCAUGAAUAUAAUAAUAUGCUUGUUUUAUGCCAUCAAGUUUGGGGCUAGCUUGUUAUGCAGUAAUAAUAACCAGAAAAACUCCAGAAACAGGAAUUGUAUCUAUCUACAGUGAAAAGAAAAUAAAUAUCAGGACCCCAAAUCACUAACAUAAAGGGAAAAGUCAAGCUGGGAACUGUGACAA
Molecule: transfer RNA, 2485 nt
Filed under: Homo sapiens (human)
Lineage: Eukaryota; Metazoa; Chordata; Mammalia; Primates; Hominidae
Description: HSALNT0333452
Source: RNAcentral